AUCAUAGACAGACAUACAUGGAUGCGGAGAAAGCUCAUGUUUAUCGAUGAUGCAGUGAUUGCCGGUUUAUUGACAGUGGGCCUGAUGGUCGUGUUCCUCGCCGGGGUUGGCGUAUUCAUCUACCAGGAUGCGCGCAAGACCAGCAAAAAGAUUCCCUGAUUCACCCCUGGAAUUGCCGGAGCUCGAAAGCGCAGCCCCCUCUGCGCGGGACUCUUUCG
This 218-nucleotide small RNA is filed under the name Pseudomonas saudimassiliensis. Its description in RNAcentral is "P20". It matches the Rfam family "PhrS". The record is from RNAcentral. Lineage: Bacteria; Pseudomonadati; Pseudomonadota; Gammaproteobacteria; Pseudomonadales; Pseudomonadaceae.